UAUAGUCAACAUGUCAUGAAAGAGCUAACGUUAGAGAUAAUACAGCGAUAAUGAAGACAGAGAAUUUAACAUUUUGUAAACAUGGCUAUAUUUGGAGAACCUUUUAGAAAAUGAGAUGAUGCAGGCAUAUCAUUAUUGGGAGAUACUUCUCCUCCCUACUUGUGGGCGGGUGAUUUAGAAACACGUCACACAUCAAUCAUUAAGUAUAAAACCUAGCCUGUCAGCAUUGUAGAGCACAGACUCUCAGUUCAACAGAAAACGUAUCCUUAGGAGAAAAAGGCAACUGAUAAAAUGAACAACAUUUGGAUCUUGUGCCUUGGGAUGCUGAUCAUGACUCUACCAUUUUCAGCUUCAGGGGAGAAGUCUUCAGAUGCCUCAUCAUCAGGCACUGCUUCUACGAAUUCCAGUGCUGUGGGAUUGGCUCAUGGGUCUGUUGCACUGUGUCUGCUGAUCCCAACGGCCACCCUGGGCUUUCUCUACAAUACACCUUAAUCUGGAUGGAGAAAGUAUGCAAAAUACAUGGUGAAGACUGAAACAGUGGCAAAGAUGGACAGCUGGUCAUCCAAAGAGCAAAUCUUUCAACAAUUCUUUCGAACAAUAGACACAACAUGGAGAAAUAGACACUUGUAAUGGAUUUUAAAAUAAUGAAAGUUAACAGUUCUAAAAUCUUCCCCUAAGGGAUUUGUUUGGUCAUAAGCUUGUAGGACUUGCUGAAAACCAAGGGUCCUUCAAACCACAGUCCCACCAGAACCACAGCACUGAAGUUUUGUUGUGGUUUUGUAGGGCUCCUCUACUCAAUAGCAAUUUCUUUUGAAAGUUUCUUUUUGAAAGUCUGUAUCUUAGAAGCCCGGAUUUCAUUAAACUUCAAUCAGUAAUCACCGCAUUCAUUAAAAAUUUUCUUUUUAGAGUUAAAGUCAGUCUGAGAAUUUAUUAAUUAUAUAUUAUAUUUGUAUUAAUUAUAUAUUAAUUUGGUUUCUGUCAUUAUGUUAUCUGUACAUUAUACAUUACUGUGUGAACCUAAUCAAUGUAAUUCAUCUGGUGUUGUAAGUUAUUUAUGGAUUAUAAUGAAUUGGUAAUUGUUACAAUUAAAAUGUAUGUAAAAUAUGCAUAAUUAAAAUGAAUAAUUUUAGAUGUUCAUCUUCGAUCCAACUUUUGUGUGUCCUGUCAACAUGCAGUUAUCUUCAAAUUGUAUAAAUGCUUUAGGUUGUAGUGUGUAGAUCUGGAGUGAAUAAAGACACCUGUUAGAAAGAGAUGAGGGCAGAAUCAGGAGUGGUGGGCGGGUGUUUCAGAAACACGUCACAUUUCAAUCAUUAAGUAUAAAACCCCGCCUGUCUGCAUCACUGAGCGCAGACUCGCAGUUCAAUCGAAAACUUAUCUUUGGGAGGAAAAAGCAGCUGUUAAAAUGAAUGCCAUCUGGACCUUGUGCCUUGGGAUGCUGAUCAUGACUUUACCGUUUUCAGCUUCAGUGGAUGACAGUAACUCAAACAAGACUGCUCCAACCACUGACAAAAAAGAUGAAUCUUCCAGCGCUGCAGGAUUGGGUCCUGUGCCCGCCACACUGUGUCUACUGAUCCCAGCAGCCACGCUCUACUUCAUCCAUGGGAGAUCUUGAACAAAAUUGAGAAAGUUUGCCAUAGACGAUGAAGACUGAGACAUGAACAAACAAGACAGCAAAUCAGACUUUUUUUUCAAUCUAGAAUGUGGUGUAUAGGGAGUGGAACACAAUCACAGUUCAUAUUUGUAUUAGACUUUUGAAAGUUUUGAAAAAAAUAUUUUUAGAGAAUUGUUCUAGAGAGUUUACAGGAACUCCCCAACGGUGCUCCAGAGCAAACUAAAGUUUUGAAUGAGCAACAUGAUUUACAUUAUACAGUAUUUCAGAUUCUGAAAAGACAUUUUUGUACACCAUGUUUUAUAAUAUGAACCUUGCCCUUUUACAACAUUUUUGUACUGAUUGUGAAAAACAUUAUUGGUUAUUAUUACGAAUGUGUUGAUAUGCACAAUAAAAGCUGGUGGUACACCUGUA
Molecule: long non-coding RNA, 2023 nt
Organism: Triplophysa rosa
Lineage: Eukaryota; Metazoa; Chordata; Actinopteri; Cypriniformes; Nemacheilidae
Exons: 3
Source: RefSeq, a predicted model, not a curated record